GGUAGGUUAGUGGAAUAUGUGAACGAGGUGGGUUAGUGGAAUUGGCCUGCUUUUGAAAGCUUCCUUUCGGAGGAAGUGUUAAAUAUGUUAGCAAUCAUGCUUCCUCCCUCAAAUUUGGAAGAAAAUGAUUCUGUGUUUUGGAGUUUGACUAGGAAUGGUAGGUUUACUGUUAAGAGUGCUUAUGAAAUGAAUUCAGGGGAUGGGAUCAAUUCGAAUUUGGAUUGGAGAAUGGUUUGAGAGAGGAAAGGGCCCCAAAGAAUUCAUGCUUUUUUGUGGUUGGCUUUGAGCAGUCAUCUUCUCACAAAUGCUGAACGUCACAGAAGGCAUUUAGUUGACUCUUCUUGGUGUUCUAUUUGUAAGUGUGGAGAAAAGUCUUUGUUGCAUGCUCUCUAUGAUUGAAUUGUUGUAAAGGGUGUGUGGGUGGACUUAAUUAAAGGGGCGGGAGGUAGGUUGAAUUUCUUUAAUAUCAGUAAUUCUGUUGAUUGACUGUGUGAAAACCUUAAGGAUUAUUUUGUUAAUUGUUAUGGUAUGUCUUGGUGUUUUAUUUUUGGAGUUGCUUGUUGGUCCAUCUGGAAGAUUAGGAAUGCGUCUGUUUUUAGUGAUUCUUUUCACAGUGGCCAUAGCUUGGCUAGUCAAGUGCUUGCUUCGGUAAAAUCUUAUAAGGAGGCUUUUGAGUGUUUGCCGCGAAGUGAUAUUUAUUUGUCUAAGAGAAGAAUUAGUUGGGUUAGGUGUGAGGCUGCCAAACUAGGAUGGGUUUCUUUGAAUACUGACGGUGUUGUGUCUGGAGUGGAUGGAUUGGCUAGUGAUGGGGGAGUUAUUCGAGACUUAAAUGGUCAGUGGAUUGCUGAUUUUGUUGCGAAUUUUAGGAAAGCUUCUGUGGAAGUAGCAGAAUUUAAGGCUUUGUUGGAAGGCCUGAGAUUGGCAAGAUCAUUGGGCUUGAAAAAUGUGUUUGUGCAAAGUGAUAAUUGUUCAGCGGUUAAGAUUAUUAAUCGGGUGCAUGUUGACUCUAGUGUUUCUCUUUCAAUGUUAUUGGCUAUGAAGAAGCUUAUCAGUUUUGAUUGAGAAAUUAUUGUGAAAAGUAUUUUUCAGAGAGGCUAAUCAGGUUGCAGAUCAACUUGCUCAUUUUGUUGGAUCUUUCCAAUUGGGAGUGCAUGUUAUGCAUGAUCGUCCUGAAUCUUUGGCUCUUUGGCUGAUGCAUGAUUCUAUUGGGGUUGCUUACCCUAGAUUGGGUGCUGGGUA
RNAcentral lists this unclassified non-coding RNA (1239 nucleotides) under Hevea brasiliensis (rubber tree). Lineage: Eukaryota; Viridiplantae; Streptophyta; Magnoliopsida; Malpighiales; Euphorbiaceae. The record is from RNAcentral.